This 75-nucleotide transfer RNA is filed under the name Deltaproteobacteria bacterium. RNAcentral describes it as "tRNA-Cys". It matches the Rfam family "tRNA". Rfam says of the family: Transfer RNA (tRNA) molecules are approximately 80 nucleotides in length. Their secondary structure includes four short double-helical elements and three loops (D, anti-codon, and T loops). Lineage: Bacteria; Pseudomonadati; Myxococcota; Myxococcia. The record is from RNAcentral.
GGCCAGGUAGCCAAGUGGUAAGGCAGAGGUCUGCAAAACCUCUACACGGGGGUUCGAUUCCCCCCCUGGCCUUCA